Molecule: long non-coding RNA, 3741 nt
Organism: Megalobrama amblycephala (Wuchang bream)
Lineage: Eukaryota; Metazoa; Chordata; Actinopteri; Cypriniformes; Xenocyprididae
Exons: 12
Source: RefSeq, a predicted model, not a curated record
UGAACUCAUUUGCAAACGCCUUUAACCAAAUAAGGCCUGUUGAACGGUUAGGAUUUGAAUUAUAAAAUCACUGUUAAAUUACCUGAAGUGUACAGAUACAGAAUUUCUCAACAUUUUGUAAAAUAAAGAUGUUAUAUUGUCCAAUAUAUGAAGUUUAGGAUUAGUUAAUCACUUGAUGGAUGUUUAUAUUAUUUUCCUUCAAUUAAAGAGAGCGCCUUUAACCAAAACCAAAAGAAGCAAACUAACGUUAGUCAAAGUGUAACAGAUUCAAAAACUGUAUGUUCAUUAGUUUUUGGCUGGAUUCUUGAUCAGGAUUGGAAAUUCCUGCCCUAGGAUUCCUGCCUUGCUGAGGCUUAUUGGACCACCUGACACCCUGGUUGAGAACCACUAAGACGAGUGGGAAAUCAAAGACUGGAAUGCUGGGAGAACGCUGGGGAAACUGAUGGAGGGGUGAGCUCUGGAAAGGAGGACGGAUACUUCCUGUUCCUGCUGGAGUGACCCGCAGGUCUGAGGAGGAGUGAGGGAAAGAGAGGGCGGAGAAAGUGAGUGGUUUUGCAGUGAUUUGCUGCCAGCUUUACCUUUGGACAGGGUGAAUAAGUGAAACCGGAAGUGGCAGUGCCAGGUUCCCAGCUGAACUUGGCUGAGGUCAGUGUCCGGUCAAAUGGAGUCGGGCCUGUGCGUCUGUGGGGGGGCAGAUGAAGUGGUCAGCGGUGUGACAGUUAGCGGGGAUUCUGACAGCCCCAGCUCCAGUGUGGAUUAGAGAUUUAUCCAAACCGGAAACAAAAUAAAACUAUGGUUGGCUAUCGCUCAUGUCGUUCCGAUGGCCUCUACCUGUCUAAGUGGGAGCUUCUUCGCCAGAACAAGCUACAAUGGACUAGACCUUACAUUUCUCCGGAGCAGGGCGACACAGAUCCACUGAUUGCUGGAGUUUGGAUCAGAGCACAGGAAGAAGUCGAGCUAAGCAGUCACGAGCAGAGAACAUUCAGCUCCUCUAUCAUCCGCCAAACACUUGACCCACAGUAACUCCGCUUUGACAGAGCAUCACAGCUUUUCUAUGUGCCGAUGUGUGCGAUGCCAGGAAAGGUCAGGAGAUGAUUUACUGAACAUUUAUGGAGGCUUUAUCUUCAGUCCUUGUCACCAAGUCGGGCAAUGCUUCAUAGAGGGUCACCAAACAGACGUGGAAAAAGAGAGAGCAUGACAACGCUACAACCGCAAUGACACAGUCUUUAACCAGUCCAACUCUUGGCAGGUACAGAACACUAAAGGACCAUUUUAUUUCUAAAUGAGUCUGAAUGGCGCACCACAAAGACUGGAAAUGCUGCUGCCCUUUCAUUUUAAAUGGCUAUCGGGUUCAUCCUACAAAUAAAACUCAUCACAGAAAAUGAAUAUAAGCGGUUGGAGAAGAGACAGGAGAUGUGAACUGUCCCUCUGGAACGGGCUGCCAUUAAGUUUACUAAAAAUGUCUGAUGGUUUCGCCCAGACAGUUAGGAGAGCUGUGUCUGAACGGGAUCCAAAUCUCUGACAGCAUCAGCCCAGGAGAACAAACAGCAGAGGAAAGAGUAUAGAUUACUCCAUCAGCGACCAGUUCUUUGAUAGCUUCUGUGCGUUUUGGGCUGAGGCUGCUCUCCGUUCUCCUUGUAUCCCUCAGCACUUUUGAUAGGCUGAAAGCAGCUGCACUAAAGCAAGAUAAAGCUGCACCAUCAGGAUGAUGAAGAGUGUGGAUGGAGAGGCGCUGUGCCGAGCACAAAGGCCGCGGAGGAGCGGCGACGGUGGCGUGAGGACAGCUGAAGAAUGCCACAAUGAAUAGCUCUCAUUUGUGAAUAUACAGAUCUGGGUGGAGGAGGGCGAGGACCUGGGGGGAAAAAAAUUACAGGUCAUAGUAAAUAAAGUUUGGAGAAUAUACUGUACAAUAGAAGAUAACAACAAACAUAGAGAUGUAAGUGCGCGGACAUGGGUGACAAAAACUAUGCUCGGAUGCUUUAUCUCAAAGGGUUGAUUUAUUAAAGUAAUGAUCUACUCUUGGGGUCUCAGGUUUGGCUUACCAGGAUCUGGAUAAUCUGGGAACAUGUUACAUGGAGGCACCUGCUUAAUUUCAAUUGCAUGCCAUGCUGGAACCUUGUUUAAUAUGGUAUGAAAAUGGCUGUGAUCAAUAUGUAGCUUGUUGUUGCAGUCUCUUUACCAUAUAAAAUUGUUCAAAGCUUGUAUACUCCCUUUCCCUGUUUUGUCUCUCCCCCCUCUUUUCUGUUUCUCAGCCUGUUCUGUUUUUCAAGAGGUCUGGAAUAUUAAGCUGUGACCCCCCGUUGUCCCUUUCCCCUCCUCGGCUCUCUCCGUGUCCUCUUUAGCUUGAACAAAACCCAUUUGCUCCAGUACAGCAGGAGGAAUGGUAUUCAGGUGGUCCCCUCCUUCUCCUCAUGCAGCCCUCUGCCCAAUCAAUAGAGAUGUAAAUAAGUUCAGACAGUUGCCAGACCUUUGUCUACGUCUUAGGUUUGAGAGGCAUCACAAGGAUCUAUUUUGGUCGGACUGAGAUUUUUAAUCUGUUUAGUUUCAGUGUUCGGGGAGAAACAACACAAUCUUUAGGACUAAAUAGCCUGGAUUACCAGUCACACUUGAAGUUUGAUCUCUUUUUUGAGUAAGAUGACAACAGACUUAGUUUCAUGGGUGUAUUCACUGUGGGUUUCUGACUCAUACGAACUGUGAGUUCAGGUCAGGUGGCAUUAUACUGAGAAUCUCAGACAAGAUAUACUAUUUGUUUGUUUGUUUUGUUUUGUUUAGGUUUGAAAAAAUAAGAGAUCUGGUUGUGAAAUAUAUAUAUAUACAUCCAGAUGUGUCUGUGUGGUUGGUUUGUCUCUGUAACCAGUGGUUCACAACGCCAAGUGUGACUGAUAUGCAGUCACACAGAUGUUGCUGGAGUUUGCGACUCCAAUUAGAAGAACUACAACUUCUGCCUUGUGUAGAUCUUUAGCUGCAUUUGUCAGUCAAACAUGGGGCAGCAGGCAAUCGUUCAUCUGGAUCUUUUAUUCUCACUCCUCUCCCAUGCAGUUACAGGGCAAAAGGGAAAAGGAGGAGCCAAAAUGGGAAAUUGCAUUGACCAAUGCCAUCAUGACAAUUAAAGGGGAAAGUCCAAGUUGUUAAUUCCAAGUCUGAAGUUCAUUUAGGGUUCAUCAUACUCUAUCCAGUGUUUAAAAAAAAAAUAUGAUGUCUUCCAUCAUCCUUCCUCAUAGUUCACAAAAUAAAAAUACCUGAAAAUAUAAAAUAUCUGAAAAUACCAUGUAGACACCAGCUUUUUUCCAAAUAACAUGUCAUUCCCAUAGGAGUCUGAAUACACACACACUCUUACAUAUUAGCAUGCUAAUGUACCAAACCCAUAUUUAGGAGAGCAAAGGUUAAAGGUAAAAUUCACCCAAUAACAACAUUGGACUCUGUUGAUGUUUACUGUAUGGACAUUUUCCAAAAUAUCUCUCAAGUCAUAUAGGUUUGGAAUGACAUGAAGGUGGGUAAAUGAUGACAGAAAUUUCAUUUUUGGGGCACAAUGAUAUAAUUUGUUAAAAAAUUAGUUGCUACAACAAAGAAAUGCCAUUUAAUUGCAGUUGAAUACUACUGAAGUAACUAAAGUAGAGUGUAAGUAAAUGUAUUACUCUGUACUAAACAUCUUUGGUUACAAAUUAUUCAGUGCGAUAAUUAAACAUUAGAAAGAAACUCUAAUUGUUUUCUGAUUUGAAUGGACAUUCUGUUUGGUGCGAU